Setaria italica (foxtail millet) is the source of this 433-nucleotide long non-coding RNA. RefSeq lists it as uncharacterized. The transcript is spliced from 5 exons. The record is from RefSeq and is a predicted model, not a curated record. NCBI's taxonomy places the organism in Eukaryota, Viridiplantae, Streptophyta, Magnoliopsida, Poales, Poaceae.
UGAUCACGGUACUUAUUAGUUUCUUUGAUUGUCGUGCAUCUGAACUUUGUGUGACGUUCAUGUUUUGUUUGCAGCAACUCCCAGUUGCCGCCCGCACGUCGUCUCCCUGUCGCCACAUGUCCUGAGGUUGUACACAUAUAUUAGAUGAGAGCCGCUUGAUGACUCCGGUUAGCAGAUCUUUUGGGCACCAGUUUGGGCUUCAGAAGAGCAACUGUUUUUGGUACAAGCUAGGAGCGUGAGGGGAAACUCAGCCUGUUCUUGAUCAUCUCAUUUUGUGCAGGGACUAUCGUUUUGAUGGAACCAUCCGGGUCAAUGCGGGAUAGGAAACAUUUUACAGAUCUCACCAACACAACAAUCCAAGGUACGCAAACCCCACAUCAUGUAGAUCCUAAGGAACGUGAUAGAGAGCGCAAGAGAUUCCUGGUUGCAACAA